This 253-nucleotide ribosomal RNA is filed under the name uncultured bacterium. RNAcentral's name for it is "partial 16S ribosomal RNA". It matches the Rfam family "Bacterial small subunit ribosomal RNA", at positions 524 to 776 of the family's 1533-position model. The record is from RNAcentral.
UACGGGGGGGGCAAGCGUUGUUCGGAAUUACUGGGCGCAAAGGGCUCGUAGGCGGCCAACUAAGUCGGAUGUGAAAUCCCCAGGCUUAACCUGGGAACUGCAUCCGAUACUGGAUGGCUUGAAUCCGGGAGAGGGAUGCGGAAUUCCAGGUGUAGCGGUGAAAUGCGUAGAUAUCUGGAGGAACACCGGUGGCGAAGGCGGCAUCCUGGACCGGCAUUGACGCUGAGGAGCGAAAGCCAGGGGAGCAAACGGG